This 946-nucleotide ribosomal RNA is filed under the name uncultured archaeon. Its description in RNAcentral is "bacterial SSU rRNA". It matches the Rfam family "Archaeal small subunit ribosomal RNA", at positions 1 to 940 of the family's 1478-position model. The record is from RNAcentral.
GGCCGCGGGAAUUCGAUUUCUGGUUGAUCCUGCCAGACCUGACUGCUAUCGGAUUGGUACUAAGCCAUGCGAGUCAUUGUAGCAAUACAAGGCGGACGGCUCAGUAACACGUAGUCAACCUAACUCGUGGACGUGGAUAACCUCGGGAAACUGAGAAUAAACCACGAUAGAUCAUAGUGCCUGGAAUGGCUUAUGGUCCAAACAGUUUACUGCCAUGGGAUGGGACUGCGGCCUAUCAGCUCGUUGGUGAGGUAAUGGCCCACCAAGGCGAUUACAGGUACGGGCUCUGAGAGGAGAAGCCCGGAGAUGGGUACUGAGACACGGACCCAGGCCCUAUGGGGCGCAGCAGGCGAGAAACCUUAGCAAUGUGCGAAAGCACGACUGGGUCAGUCCGAGUGAUUCCUGAUAAAGGAGUCUUUUGCUUGUCCUAAAAGCACAGGUGAAUAAGGGGUGGGCAAGUCUGGUGUCAGCCGCCGCGGUAAUACCAGCACCUCGAGUGGUCAGGACGUUUAUUGGGCCUAAAGCAUCCGUAGCCGGCUUUGCAAGUCUUCGGUUAAAUCCACCUGCUCAACAGAUGGGCCGCUGGAGAUACUACAGAGCUAGGGAGUGGGAGAGGCAGACGGUAUUCAGUGGGUAGGGGUAAAAUCCUCUGAUCCAUUGAGGACCACCAGUGGCGAAGGCGGUCUGCCAGAACACGUUCGACGGUGAGGGAUGAAAGCUGGGGGAGCAAACCGGAUUAGAUACCCGGGUAGUCCCAGCUGUAAACGAUGCAAACUCGGUGAUGCAUAGGCAUAUGGCCAAUGCAGAGCCGCAGGGAAGCCGUUAAGUUUGCCGCCUGGGAAGUACGGACGCAAGUCUGAAACUUAAAGGAAUUGGCGGGGGAGCACCACAAGGGGUGAAGCCUGCGGUUCAAUUGGAUUCAACGCCGGAAAUCACUAGUGAAUUC